UGAUCAGAUGGAUGAGUAAGAGAAGAGAGGAGAAAGCAGGCUAAGCACCAUCAGCUGUGUAAAUGCACCCACCUGAAGGGACUCCCAUCAUGUGGAGACAGCAUCUCUAAGCAUCUUGUGCUUCUGCUGGGGCGUCUCAGGCACAGGCAGGAAGGAGAAGGAUGAAGCAGGAUGCCUGGACCAGUGAGAAGACUCCAACACCAGUGGAAACCGAAGGGAGUCUAGGAACCCUCCCUUGGACUCCUCUACUUGGGAUGCCUCAUCCUUUGCCCAUGAUAUUAGAGCAGCAUUCACUUCAAAUUCAGAAGGCAGAAUGGGAGCUAAAAAGAUGUGUAUUAUAUUUGAUAAGAUCAACAUUUAAAAUGGACUGACCAUAUAUAUCCUAAGGUAAAUAAUUGUUUCUAUUCUCCAAAUAGAUAUCUACAUUGCUUUUCGUACUCCUGGAUUUGGUGAUGUGACUAGUCAAUACAAAACUAAUUAUGUCUGUAAAUAGAUUGUACUAAGAUUUUAUUAUUUAUCUCAAGUGAUAAAAGUGGACUAAUUAUGAAUGCAACUCAAAUUAAAAUUUAACAUGUAUUAGCAUAUUUAGCUAAUGAAAUCUAUUUC
Long non-coding RNA from Mus pahari (shrew mouse), 606 nucleotides. RefSeq lists it as uncharacterized. Lineage: Eukaryota; Metazoa; Chordata; Mammalia; Rodentia; Muridae. The transcript has 3 exons. The record is from RefSeq and is a predicted model, not a curated record.